AAGGCGGCUUACCAGCCCGAUACUGACGCUCAGUCACGAAAGCGUGGGGAGCAAAUAGGCUUAGAUACCCUAGUAGUCCACGCCGUAAACGUUGAGGACCUGAUGCCGGAGUAUUUCGGUGUCGUAGCUAACGCGUUAAGUCCUCCGCCUGGGUACUACGUUCGCAAGAAUAAAACUUAAAGGAAUUGACGGGCGCCCGCACAAGCAGUGGAGCAUGGGGUUUAAUUCGUCGAUACACGAAAAACCUUACCAGGGCUUGACAUCCCGCUAAAAGCCUUAGAAAUAAGGAAAUAGUUAUAGCGGUGACAGGUGGUGCAUGGUUGUCGUCAGCUCGUGCCGUGAGGUGUUAGGUUAAGUCCUCAAACGAGCGCAACCCUUGUCUUUAGUUGCCAUUAUUAAUUUAGGAACUCUAGAGAGACUGCCGGCGCAAGCCGGAGGAAGGCGGGGAUGACGUCAAAUCAUCAUGCCCUUUAUGCCCUGGGCCACACCCGUGCUACAAUGGUCGGUACAAAGAGAAGCAACACUGUGAGGUGAAGCAAAUCCCAUAAAGCCGAUCUCAAUUCGGAUUGAAGUCUGCAACUCGACUUCAUGAAGCUGGAAUUGCUAGUAAUCGCAGAUCAGCAACGCUGCGGUGAAUACGUUCUCGGGCGUUGUACACACUGCCCGUCACACCAUGAGAGCCGGUAAUACUCGAAGUCGUUAGCCUAACCGUAAGGAGGGCGGCGCCUAAGGUAGGACUGGUGAUUGGGGUUAAGUCGUAACAAGGUAUCCCUACGAGAACGUGGGGAUG
RNAcentral lists this ribosomal RNA (790 nucleotides) under human gut metagenome. RNAcentral's name for it is "bacterial SSU rRNA". It matches the Rfam family "Bacterial small subunit ribosomal RNA", at positions 718 to 1520 of the family's 1533-position model. The record is from RNAcentral.